Molecule: ribosomal RNA, 574 nt
Filed under: uncultured Bacteroidota bacterium
Lineage: Bacteria; Pseudomonadati; Bacteroidota
Description: bacterial SSU rRNA
Rfam family: Bacterial small subunit ribosomal RNA
Source: RNAcentral
AGGCAGCAGUGGGGAAUAUUGGACAAUGGGCGAAAGCCUGAUCCAGCCAUGCCGCGUGCAGGAUGACGGUCCCUAUGGAUUGUAAACUGCUUUUGCACAGGAAGAAACAUCCCCGACGUGUCGGGACUUGACGGUACUGUGAGAAUAAGGAUCGGCUAACUCCGUGCCAGCAGCCGCGGUAAUACGGAGGAUCCAAGCGUUAUCCGGAAUCAUUGGGUUUAAAGGGUCCCGUAGGCGGUUUGGUAAGUCAGUGGUGAAAGCCCAUCGCUCAACGGUGGAACGGCCAUUGAUACUGCCAGACUUGAAUUACUGGGAAGUAACUAGAAUAUGUAGUGUAGCGGUGAAAUGCUUAGAGAUUACAUGGAAUACCAAUUGCGAAGGCAGGUUACUACCAGUGGAUUGACGCUGAUGGACGAAAGCGUGGGUAGCGAACAGGAUUAGAUACCCUGGUAGUCCACGCCGUAAACGAUGGAUACUAGCUGUUGGGAGUAAUCUCAGUGGCUAAGCGAAAGUGAUAAGUAUCCCACCUGGGGAGUACGAACGCAAGUUUGAAACUCAAAUGAAUUGACGGGGG